GACGAACGCUGGCGGCGUGCUUAACACAUGCAAGUCGUACGGUAAGGCCCUUUCGGGGGUCCACGAGUGGCGAACGGGUGAGUAACACGUGCGUAACCUGCCCACAACUUUGGGAUAACGCUAGGAAACUGGUGCUAAUACUGGAUAUGUGCUCCUGCUGCAUGGUGGGGGUUGGAAAGCUCCGGCGGUUGUGGAUGGACUCGCGGCCUAUCAGCUUGUUGGUGGGGUAGUGGCCUACCAAGGCGGCGACGGGUAGCCGGCCUGAGAGGGUGACCGGCCACAGUGGGACUGAGAUAAGGCCCAGGCUCCGACGGGAGGCAGCAGUGGGGAAUAUUGCACAAGGGGCGCAAGCCUGAUGCAGCAACGCCGCGUGCGGGAUGACGGCCUUCGGGUUGUAAACCGCUUUCAGCAGGGACGAAGCUUUUUGUGACGGUACCUGCAGAAGAAGCACCGGCUAACUACGUG
This 465-nucleotide ribosomal RNA is filed under the name uncultured bacterium. Its description in RNAcentral is "partial 16S ribosomal RNA". It matches the Rfam family "Bacterial small subunit ribosomal RNA", at positions 28 to 507 of the family's 1533-position model. The record is from RNAcentral.